AUUUGUGUAUGUGUGAGUUGGUUGUGAUUGGAUGCUGCAGGUUUUUUCAUGACAGGGGUGUGGUGUUUUUCUUGCUGGUUUGGAGAUUGGCCAGUGGUAAUGUAAAGCCUUGUUGCUUAGCAGUAUGCAGUUUAUCAUAUGAGUUGUAUGCAGUUUUUAGAAGCUGCCCCCAAUGCCAUGCCAGAAAAAAGUGAGGAAGAUAUGGUGUCAAGGCCAGGUUCUGUUGUGUUUUGGACAGAAGAUGUGGGAUGCAAAAUAGCAGGGUUAGGUCAUGCUGCUGCUACUAGUUUUGAUGACAAGGGAUGGUAUUUCAUCUACUGUUAGAAGCAUGGCAAGGUUGGUUUGUUGUGUUUGCACAGAAGAAUAUCAAAGUGAAGGC
RNAcentral lists this long non-coding RNA (379 nucleotides) under Lathyrus oleraceus (garden pea). Its description in RNAcentral is "Pisum sativum (pea) long non-coding RNA (PSAT_LNC013429)". Lineage: Eukaryota; Viridiplantae; Streptophyta; Magnoliopsida; Fabales; Fabaceae. The record is from RNAcentral.